RNAcentral lists this small RNA (68 nucleotides) under Salix viminalis (osier). Lineage: Eukaryota; Viridiplantae; Streptophyta; Magnoliopsida; Malpighiales; Salicaceae. The record is from RNAcentral.
ACUGCUGUGAUGAGCUGUUAACAUGUAAGAAGAUCCCUUUUUAUUGGGAGUGAUUCAUGCCGAGCAAU